GAUUACUGGUGAUGGCCUGAAGAUGGACCUAGCUACUUUUGGAAGUUUAUCUUCAGCUUCAGUCGCCCCUGAGUGAAUUCUUUUGUUUCCAGGGUCUCUGGAAGAAGGUCUAUUGUCUCCAUACAUCUGAUGAAAAUUUAUGAAUAUAAAAGCUUGGAGAAAAAACUGUUGGAGUCAGAUGGAGGCAGAUCAAAGCAUACUAUUUUUCACAUCAGUGUAUUUAUGAUUUUAUUUGGGGGUUUUGGCUUUGUAUGAGUGAACUCUUCCAUCAAUGACCAACAUGGAAGCAUGUUUUGCUUGAUAAUAAAAAAUAAAAUUUGAAAAACCA
This 328-nucleotide long non-coding RNA is filed under the name Monodelphis domestica (gray short-tailed opossum). Its description in RNAcentral is "lncRNA (ENSMODG00000033515.2)". Lineage: Eukaryota; Metazoa; Chordata; Mammalia; Didelphimorphia; Didelphidae. The record is from RNAcentral.